Molecule: ribosomal RNA, 226 nt
Filed under: Lacticaseibacillus casei
Lineage: Bacteria; Bacillati; Bacillota; Bacilli; Lactobacillales; Lactobacillaceae
Description: Lactobacillus casei partial 16S ribosomal RNA
Rfam family: Bacterial small subunit ribosomal RNA
Source: RNAcentral
GCGAAUGGAUUAAGAGCUUGCUCUUUAUGAAGUUAGCGGCGGACGGGUGAGUAACACGUGGGUAACCUGCCCAUAAGACUGGGAUAACUCCGGGAAACCGGGGCUAAUACCGGAUAACAUUUUGAACUGCAUGGUUCGAAAUUGAAAGGCGGCUUCGGCCUGUCACUUAUGGAUGGACCCGCGUCGCAUUAGCUAGUUGGUGAGGUAACGGCUCACCAAGGGCAAC